CUCCUAAAGACUAAGCCAUGCAUGCCUUCGAAUAAGAGGAAGCAAUUCUCUCUGAAUCUGCGAACGGCUCCGCACACCAGUUGUAAACUAUAGCAAGCAAGCCCGGACUGGCCUCACGGCUGGGCCGGGCUAUAUGGAUAUCCCUGGUAAUUCUGAGGCUAAUACAUGAACGUAACACCCGGACGACCCGCAAGGGGAGGCCGGUGAACGUGCGAGUCAACACGGAUAACCAAGAAGGGGCGCACGUUAAGACCGCGCUACAAAGGAUCGGCCUGGCGCCUCCCCUCCGGGGGGGGAAGAGGGCUGGCCCCAGCGGCUCUUGCUGUGUGCUUCUGACCUAUCAACUAGACGGCAGUGUAAGGGACAUGCUAUGGUUACAACGGGUACAGAGGAUUAGGGUUCGAUCCUGGAGAGUGGGCCUGAGAGAUUGCUCAUACUUCUAAGGAAGGCAGCAGGCGCGCAACGUUCCCCUUGGGCAAUGCCCGAGGGCGUUAGGGGACAUAUGAAUGCCUGCCGUUAGGUGGGCAAUUCAAAUGGGUCUGUUCUAAACAGCCUAUCGAGUAACAAUU
Molecule: ribosomal RNA, 569 nt
Filed under: Physarina echinospora
Lineage: Eukaryota; Evosea; Eumycetozoa; Physariida; Didymiaceae
Description: SSU rRNA
Rfam family: Eukaryotic small subunit ribosomal RNA
Source: RNAcentral